GUGAAAUUGACUGGAGCAUUCUACCUAGAGAAGCGGAGAUUGGACCAUACCUGAUUUUUUUAAACACUGCUACCUCACAUGAAAAAGGUGGUGAAAUGUAUUAAGUGAGAACAUAUCAAGAGGUUCCUGAGAAGCAGACCUAGUAGUGCAAAAUUUUUCACUUGUCUUCCCUCCAGUACCUACUUUGCCCAUUUCCCAGGUUUACAUUAAGAAGACUAAAGAGUUAUCAAAACUUCACUUUCCUGCCUGUCUGUAACCACAUCAAUUCAUCAAACCCAUAAAUUCCAGGCAGCAGUGUGUACCUCCUGUCUGAAUGUGAAAAGCAGCUUUCUGGACAUGCAAAAGUCCCUAUUCUGGCCUGGAGGAAAGCUUUCAGCAUGAACCAAGCGGGAGACCUGACAGCAGCUACAGAGAACUCAAGAGGAAGCAAAAGCCUCUGACACAUUUUAGGACGUUUUGUCACCAGAGAUGAAGAGGCAUGUUUGAGUCCAGCAAAAAAAGAAAAGACAAAGAAAGUGAGGCAUUUUUACUUAACCUUUAAAAAGGAUGAUCUUGUCCUGAACUGGAAAAGGUAGGGGCUUCUGUUAUUCUGAUCCAAUUCACUAGACUGUGUAUGUAUGUGUUCAAAAUAAAAAAGUUUGUGAUUGCUGCUUUAU
RNAcentral lists this long non-coding RNA (656 nucleotides) under Athene cunicularia (burrowing owl). Its description in RNAcentral is "lncRNA (ENSACUG00000008412.1)". Lineage: Eukaryota; Metazoa; Chordata; Aves; Strigiformes; Strigidae. The record is from RNAcentral.